Molecule: ribosomal RNA, 527 nt
Filed under: Dynoides sp. RW04.031.1150
Lineage: Eukaryota; Metazoa; Arthropoda; Malacostraca; Isopoda; Sphaeromatidae
Description: partial 16S ribosomal RNA
Rfam family: Bacterial large subunit ribosomal RNA
Source: RNAcentral
UCGCCUGUUUUUCAAAAACAUCGCCAGUAGAUUUACCGGUAAAAUCUGCCCAGUGUGACAUCAACGGCCGCAGUAUCUUAACUGUGCUAAGGUAGCAAAAUCAUUAGUUUUUUAAUUGAAAACCUGUAUGAAAGAUCUGACGUAAGGUUAACUUUUCCCCCGGUUGACGGAACUUACUUUGGGAGUAAAAAAGCUCCUUUAUUUCAAUUGGACGACAAGACCCUAUAAAGCUUUAUUCUUCUCUUGGCUUAUCACUUAAUUUAUCUUGCCUAAAAAGAAUUUUACUGGGGCGGUAACUCCACUAACAACACGACUCGCCCUAACAAACUGAUUGACUUUCCCGAACACCAAGAUGUAAUUAAGUCCAAGUUACUUUAGGGAUAACAGCAUAAUUUUUUUAAAGAGCCCGUAUCGACAAAAAAGAUUAUGACCUCGAUGUUGAAUUGAAGAACCUAUCUAAAGCAGCUUUUAGACAAGAAAGUCUGUUCGACUUUUAAUCCUUCACAUGAUCUGAGUUCCAAACCGGA